Molecule: ribosomal RNA, 209 nt
Filed under: uncultured bacterium
Lineage: Bacteria
Description: partial 16S ribosomal RNA
Rfam family: Bacterial small subunit ribosomal RNA
Source: RNAcentral
UACGGAGGGUGCGAGCGUUGUCCGGAAUCACUGGGCGUAAAGGGCGCGUAGGCGGCUCCGGCAGUCUGUGGUGAAAGCCCAAGGCUCAACUCUGGGUCGGCCACGGAUACUCCGGGGCUGGAGCACACUAGAGGCGGAUGGGAAUUCCGGGUGUAGCGGUGGAAUGCGUAGAGAUCCGGAAAGAACACCGGUGGCGAAGGGCGGUCCGC